RNAcentral lists this unclassified non-coding RNA (1063 nucleotides) under Lucilia cuprina (Australian sheep blowfly). RNAcentral's name for it is "extracellular superoxide dismutase [Cu-Zn], transcript variant X6". The record is from RNAcentral. Lineage: Eukaryota; Metazoa; Arthropoda; Insecta; Diptera; Calliphoridae.
AUUACCAUAAGAGAACAGUUGUAUUUUAGCUGUUGAAUUAAACGGUUGUAUUUUCCAACUGAUCAAUCGUGUUGAUUAUUUUAAAACGUAGUUAAAAAGCAUAUUUUUUUUUGCAAAACAACAAAUAAAAUUAAAAAUAAAAACAUAUUAGAUAGGUAAAACAAUGAAUUCUUGCCAUUUACUAACAACAAUUUUAGCCGUUUGUGCGGUAUCAGCUCUAGCAGCAGAGAAAAAUACUCGUAUCGAGGCCAUUGCUUAUGUAUCGAGUCCGAAUAGCAAUCAAGUGAAUGGAAAUGUAACAUUCAUACAAAAUGCUUGCGGAGAAAAUGUUCAUGUUCGUGUUUUUAUAACUGGUUUAACUCCCGGAAAACAUGGUUUCCACGUUCAUGAAAAAGGAGACUUGACGAAUGGUUGCUUAAGCAUGGGUGGUCACUUUAAUCCUGACAAGAUGGAUCAUGGUGGUCCCGGUGAUGAAGUUCGUCAUGUUGGUGAUCUUGGCAAUAUUGAAGCGAAUGAAAAUGGUGUUGUGGAUACCACAUUUACAGAUCAUUUGAUAAGUUUAACCGGUCCACGGACAAUUAUCGGACGUGGUCUAGUUAUACACGAUAAUGUUGAUGAUUUGGGUAAAACAACACAUCCUGAUUCGAAAAAGACUGGCAAUGCUGGCGGACGUGCUGCCUGUGGAGUUAUUGGUGUCAAAUUUUCGAAACACACUGUGUCCUGUGCAGAUGAUAAUUAAAAAUUACUAAAAUGCUAUUAAACUAAAAUCCUUUUAUUCCCAUAUCCUCAUCCUAACAUUAUUCUAAACAAACAAUAUAAUUAUCUAUCAAAUCUGUCAAUGUCUUCAAUACUCGUAGUGUCUUGUAGUUGUUGAUGGCGUAUUACCUUGCAGUGGUGGCAGUUCUACAUUGGGCAUCUCCAUAGCUCUAUUCUUAUCCGCUUUAAUUGCUAUAAUUUUGAAUUAUUAUUAAGUUUCGAUCAAAACUUUUAUAUAUUUUUGUUAUAUUAAGUAUUAUUUCUUUAAAAAUAAAAAGCAAACCAUCCAUUAUGUAUUAAUAUAAAA